UACGUAGGGGGCUAGCGUUGUCCGGAAUCAUUGGGCGUAAAGAGCGUGUAGGCGGUCCGGUAAGUCCGUUGUGAAAGUCAGGGGCUCAACCCUUGAAUGCCGGCGGAUACUGUCGGGCUAGAGUCCGGAAGAGGCAAGUGGAAUUCCCGGUGUAGCGGUGAAAUGCGCAGAUAUCGGGAGGAACACCAAUGGCGAAGGCAGCUCGCUGGGACGGUACUGACGCUGAGACGCGAAAGCGUGGGGAGCAAACAGG
RNAcentral lists this ribosomal RNA (253 nucleotides) under uncultured bacterium. Its description in RNAcentral is "partial 16S ribosomal RNA". It matches the Rfam family "Bacterial small subunit ribosomal RNA", at positions 524 to 776 of the family's 1533-position model. The record is from RNAcentral.